RNAcentral lists this ribosomal RNA (263 nucleotides) under Rhizophagus fasciculatus. Lineage: Eukaryota; Fungi; Glomeromycota; Glomeromycetes; Glomerales; Glomeraceae. The record is from RNAcentral.
CAGUUGUACCGGCGGAUAAUCAGCCUUUCGGGUGCGAUUCUGUGGGGCGUGAGGAGCUUAACCGCCUUCACGUUUUGCAUAUUCGUGCACAUUUGGUGUACUUGUCCGCGUGGUGGGUUAACAUCAAUUUCGGUCGUCAUAAAAUGAUUGGAGGAAUGUAGCUUUGAUCUCGUAUCGAAGUGUUAUAGACUCUGGUAGAUGUGACGUAUUGGGAUUAAGGGAUUGCAACGGAUACCCCUUCGGGGGCUACCCGUCUGAUCUCU